UAUGUUAUAAACAUGUUAUUGUGUGAUUUAUGGUUGAAAGUAAGUAAGAGAGGUGCUAUUUUGGUGAGAAAAAUUGAAGAGAGCUUGCUGGACAUUUUCAGUCUGAAUCGUAGGAUGUGAGUUGUGUUUUUUAGCUUGUGGGUUCCAUUUUUGUUGAGAUUUUUCUACGAGAUUCAUGCUUUAUAGAUACUUAAUGAUAUACUACACGAUUUAUGCAUAAAUCAAGAAGGAAAGUUGCAAUUUAACCAUGAUUCAGGGCAACAACACGUAUGUAACCUAUUAUGGAAAUAUACAAACAAGAGAAAAAAACGAAUUAUAGAAAUAUCUUUUGACUGUUGGAAGGUUUCUCUUGUAUGUGUUGUCCGGAAAGAGGAGGCCCUUGCCUCUUCUUCUUGGCAUGCUUUCUUGCUUUCAAGAGUUUCAUUGGGUGGCCUUUUCGCUCCUUAAGAACUCAAGAACUUUGGAGCUAACUUGAUUAAGACAUUAGGUCGAUGGUUCUCUUCUUCCUUCACUGGUUCGGUUCAAACUGGAAACUUUCCAGCUACAAACAGGUUACUUCCAUCAGUUUCUACCUCUAUUUAACUUCAAAUCAAACAUAUAUCCACAUCUCUUUAAAGUGUAAGGAAAGAUUGAAGUUUCUCAGCCAUAUUACCUUAUUUUUCUGCUCCAAAUCAAGCUGGAAGUUGGCUCACCUUCCUGAUUUCUCCUUGGUUCAAGCAAGUUGGAUGGACAGCUUCCUCUUGACUAGAAAUGGAGACAAGACACUCUAAUUUCUCUCAAAACUCUAUAUUCUCUUGGUUGGAAAAAUAAAGAACAAAGGUUUCUCAACUCUCCUCUCUCUCUCGGCUGAAACAAUGAAAUGGAGGAGGAAGACUCAAGCACUUUUUCUCUCGGCUGUUUAAAAGGAAAAGAAAUAAAGUUGGUUCUCUCUCUCUCUCUCUCUCACGAAUGUAAAUGGUCAAGGCAAGAAAGUGUUGGUUUGAAAACUUUUGUCUUGGUCAAAUUUGUCAUGCCACAUUGGAUAAGUGUCAUGCCAUUUAGGAAAACUUUUGUCUUGGUCAAGGUUGGAUAGAUGAUUGACAAGUGGCAAAACAAGAAGUAAUACCUAUCUAAUUGUCUCUAAUUUAUCAAAAUAUCUAGUUCUCCUCCAAUUAUCUCUUAACAC
Molecule: long non-coding RNA, 1165 nt
Filed under: Coffea arabica (coffee)
Lineage: Eukaryota; Viridiplantae; Streptophyta; Magnoliopsida; Gentianales; Rubiaceae
Description: long non-coding RNA (CARA_LNC004211)
Source: RNAcentral